UUUAAAUGCCAGUAUAUUUGGACACAGUAAAUCAAAUGCAGACUUCCCUUUUAUGGAUUAUACAUUACCAUGGGAAGAACGAGUGGAUGAUCUAGUUAAACGACUUACAUCUGAAGAAAUUAUGUACCAGCUAGCCUUUGCUGGACACGUACCGUUUGGUCCAGCACCAGCUAUUUCACGACUUGGGAUUAAACCCUAUACUUGGGACACCGAAUGUGAACGAGGUGAUGUCGGCGCGGGUCCUGCCACAAGUUUUCCAGAAAAUAUCGGUCUAGGUGCUUCAUUCAGUCGAAGUUUAAAUUAUCGAGUAGCUGAAGCUACAGCUCUUGAGGUGCGAGCUAAAUAUAACGACUAUAUACAACAUGGAUCUUAUCAAGACCACCAAGGUCUCAGUUGUUAUAUGGGAACUAGUAAUAUUAUGAGAGACUCAAGAUGGGGAAGAAACCAGGAAACAAACGGGGAAGAUCCAUACCUUACUGGCAGUAUUGGUUCAGCUUUUGUUCAAGGUUUACAAGGAAAUGAUAAAAACUUGAGAUAUAUCAGAACCAGUGCUUGUCCUAAACAUCUUGCUGUUUAUAGUGGCCCGGAGGAUAUUCCGUACUUUCGAUACAAUUUUACUGUCUCUCCAACACAAAGAGAUCUGCAUACGUCAUAUCUUCCAAUGUUUAGACAGAUGAUUCAAGCUGGGGCUUACAGUAUCAUGUGUACUUAUACAAG
This is an RNA transcript of Patella vulgata (common limpet), 717 nucleotides long. RefSeq lists it as uncharacterized. The record is from RefSeq and is a predicted model, not a curated record. The transcript has 4 exons. NCBI's taxonomy places the organism in Eukaryota, Metazoa, Mollusca, Gastropoda, Patellidae.